Molecule: ribosomal RNA, 467 nt
Filed under: uncultured bacterium
Lineage: Bacteria
Description: partial 16S ribosomal RNA
Rfam family: Bacterial small subunit ribosomal RNA
Source: RNAcentral
GACGAACGCUGGCGGCGUGCUUAACACAUGCAAGUCGAACGGAAAGGCCUCUUUCGGGGGGUACUCGAGUGGCGAACGGGUGAGUAACACGUGAGUAACCUGCCCUUGACUUUGGGAUAACUUCAGGAAACUGGGGCUAAUACCGGAUAGGAGCUCCUGCUGCAUGGUGGGGGUUGGAAAGUUUCGGCGGUUGGGGAUGGACUCGCGGCUUAUCAGCUUGUUGGUGGGGUAGUGGCUUACCAAGGCUUUGACGGGUAGCCGGCCUGAGGGGGUGACCGGCCACAUUGGGACUGAGAUACGGCCCAGACUCCUACGGGAGGCAGCAGUGGGGAAUAUUGCACAAUGGGUGGAAGCCUGAUGCAGCAACGCCGUGUGCGGGAUGACGGCCUUCGGGUUGUAAACCGCUUUCGCUCAUGACGAAGCUUUAUGUGACGGUAGUGGGUAAAGAAGCACCGGCUAACUACGUG